UCUUUCUUUGCUGGCGACCGGCGCACGGGUGAGUAACACGUAUCCAACCCGCCCUUUACUCGGGGAUAGCCUUUCGAAAGAAAGAUUAAUACCCGAUAGUAUAAUGAUUCCGCAUGGUUUCAUUAUUAAAGGAUUCCGGUAAAGGAUGGGGAUGCGUUCCAUUAGGUUGUUGGUGAGGUAGCGGCUCACCAAGCCUUCGAUGGAUAGGGGUUCUGAGAGGAAGGUCCCCCACAUUGGAACUGAGACACGGUCCAA
Molecule: ribosomal RNA, 255 nt
Filed under: uncultured bacterium
Lineage: Bacteria
Description: partial 16S ribosomal RNA
Rfam family: Bacterial small subunit ribosomal RNA
Source: RNAcentral